AGUACAUGCGGCUUGACGUCAGCCGUGUAAGUUGACAUGGGAUGACAAAUCAUUGUCUGAAGCUAGUGGUUAAGAAAAUGGAGAUGCCGUCGCUUGCUAGAAACUUAUGUCGAUCUAACUUAAUAGUAGGUCGUUAUCAUUUCACUUAACGUUAGCAAAGUACGUAGAUUCAUGUCACUUUAUCAGCAAAUACUUAAAAAAUAAAUUCUAAUCUUCGCUCAGCGUCAUUAUCCAUCGUAAAUGUUGUGCUAAACCUAUAAAUACGUUCCGAGCAACGAUAUGCAUACACUUACUAUUGAUCAUAUACGGCCCACUUCAGGACACAGAAGUGACCUACACAUUUUUCUAUUCAACCAUGCCCAUUCUCAUUUUCGCCGUUCAACCUUAUCUUCGAUUGGCAAAGUUCCUAAUAACGCUGGCGACCACCUGAAAUCCACUUUUCUGCAUUUAUCUUCCCUAGAGUCUAUCUCAUUCGAUAUAGCGCAAAGACGUCACGGCGACAGUGAGACGCGCGUACGUCUUCAUGCGAACGAACGAACGAACAAAAUUGAGGUGGGGAAUCGAAAUGUACUGAAUCUCGAUUCGGCUGCAAAUGACGAUAUUCAGUUUUUUUAUUUCGGUUCCUUUCUUUCGUUGCGGUAUUUUUCUUGGCGGCGCCAUUGCCGUUCACUGUCUUUUCUCUCACAGCAUUCGUCAUUUGUCGCUACUGAAUAUUCGUAUUGGCGUAAUGUUGUAGUCGUGAUUUCAACGCCGGUUGUGAACUUGGCUUUUCAGUUCAUGCCGUUAUGGCUUCCACGGUGGCUGUUAUUGUUGUUAGUAAAGGUGAUCGUGGUUAUGGUGACAACAGCGCUAUCGACGAUAACAAUGGCGACGGAAGGAAGGCGGAGAGGCCAGCUGAUCAUUUUUGACAUAAACAUUUCCCGUUGUUAUUGCAGCGGUCACUUGCGUAUGAGAUUUCGCCGUUGCCUCUAUCGCAUAGCUCAUGUAGGGCCGCCGUUGCUGAGAGGGCAGCGGGCGUCGGCUACUGUGGAUUACGGUCCGCCAUCUCAUCCGUAAUGCAGUAGGCUUGCGACCCAACUCUAUCUAUAUGCUGUCUUUAUCACCUACCUUUCAGGUGAAGCUAACGGCGGCGUCGUCACGUCUCCGUUAGCCAUGGCGCCACAGUAGACGUGUUUGUUGUUAUGUAUGCGCAUUCAACAGUGAAACGCUGUGAACUCUCUUCGUCCCAGCCCAUUUGAGGUGCUCAGAUAUCUGUUCCUAUGUGCUUGUGCCUGUUCGGUAUGUGUGUGCGCUGUGUCAUUGAGUCAUGUGCGUCUCAGCGGCAUAACAAAAAGCCAGUAAACAGUGACAUCUCCCUUUUCGCAAGCUGUAUCUUCUUCCACGACACGCCUGUCUACCUUCGUAUCAUUAUAACUGCUACCACUACUAUAGCUACGAUGGCGGCAUUAAAGAGCAGACGAAAUAUGACUUUUUCGUCGAAAGAGGAAUAUUUUGUAUGUUGGCACUGGCAUCGAUGUUGACGCUUCUGCCGUUGCUGACGACGCUAAUAAUAUGGAUCUGCUAGCGUUCUCUGCAGUGGGCGUUCAGCGUCUAUUCAACCGUUCGUCUAUUGAACGUUCCGGCGUGCUAGUAAAUAGUAGCUCCGAGAUAGUGACGCCGCUGCUAAGGAAACGAGAGCCGCGCAUCGACAUCGAUCACUGUCGCCCAUUCUAAUGAUAAUAAUAAAACCAAUAACGAAACUAGUAGAGUUUAGUAAGCUUAUUUUGGCGUCAGGAAAUGUAUAUGAAUCUAAUCGUGCUUCAUUUGAAAUAUACAGGAAACAACAAGGUAUAAAUCUAGCCUCACGGUCGCCCAUCAAUUAAAGCAAAACUUAGCUCCCCCUAAUGAUGUAAUCACUACUACUACUACUACUACUACUACUACUACUACUACUACUACUACUACUACUACUACUACUAUAAUGACUUUUUUGCUCAUGUAACAUAAUAGAUAUGUAGGCAUGGAGCAAGCUGUACAUCUAACGCACUCAUCAUAAUUAUCCACUAUUAUAUCCAUGGCAAACUUGAUUGAACUUUGGAAGAGCGGAGUGUCAUCUUUCAACUGGUUAACUCUCAUAGGCACAAACUGUAUAACGAGACACUAAGUUAUCUAGGACAAACACAACAUGUUUUGCAUCCGAUGAAAUCGGGGUCAGCUUCAAGAAUAACUAGGUGCAAAAAAUAUUGCAACGAAUAAUGCCAGCGCCACAACGGUCAUCAUUCGUUCUUAAUAGGACACGUUUGCGCAUGCAAAGCAACACCAUAUAUCAGGCAUCGGUAAAUGCCGGAAAUCGAAAAUAAGCGGUGGCCCGUCACCCGAAGUGGGAAAGAAAGAUUCGAUGCUAACAGGCUUAUGGAUCAAGCGUAGUCGUCAAAGUCGUUGUAAAGUCUUUCUGUCUAAAUAGAUACGAAUCGUUGUCAAACAGCUCAACGUGUCUUAUAUAAUUUAUCGAGCUGCGUAACCUCUU
Molecule: long non-coding RNA, 2506 nt
Filed under: Varroa destructor (honeybee mite)
Lineage: Eukaryota; Metazoa; Arthropoda; Arachnida; Mesostigmata; Varroidae
Description: uncharacterized LOC111247942
Source: RNAcentral